ACACGGGCCCAGACUCCUACGGGAGGCAGCAGUGGGGAAUAUUGGACAAUGGGCGAAAAGCCUGAUCCAGCAAUGCCGCGUGAGUGAUGAAGGCCUUAGGGUUGUAAAGCUCUUUUACUAGGGAUGAUAAUGACAGUACCUAGAGAGUAAGCUCCUGCUAACUCCGUGCCAGCAGCCGCGGUAAUACGGAGGGAGCUAGCGUUGUUCGGAAUUACUGGGCGUAAAGAGAACGUAGGCGGCUAUCCAAGUCAGGGGUGAAAUCCCGGGGCUCAACCCCGGAACUGCCCUUGAAACUAGGUAGCUAGAAUUCUGGAGAGGUUAGUGGAAUUCCGAGUGUAGAGGUGAAAUUCGUAGAUAUUCGGAAGAACACCAGUGGCGAAGGCGACUGACUGGACAGAUAUUGACGCUGAGGUUCGAAAGCGUGGGGAGCAAACAGGAUUAGAUACCCUGGUAGUCCACGCCGUAAACGAUGAUAACUAGCUGUUCGGGCUCAUAGAGCUUGAGUGGCGCAGCUAACGCAUUAAGUUAUCCGCCUGGGGAGUACGGUCGCAAGAUUAAAACUC
This 563-nucleotide ribosomal RNA is filed under the name uncultured bacterium. RNAcentral describes it as "bacterial SSU rRNA". It matches the Rfam family "Bacterial small subunit ribosomal RNA", at positions 324 to 902 of the family's 1533-position model. The record is from RNAcentral.